GAUGAAGAACGUAGUGAAAUGCGAUACUUGGUGUGAAUUGCAGAAUCCCGUGAACCAUCGAGUCUUUGAACGCAAGUUGCGCCCGAAGCCAUUAGGCCGAGGGCACGCCUGCCUGGGUGUCACACGUCGUUGCCCCCCCAUCUACUCCUUCGGGAUUGCGGGGGGCGGAUGAUGGCCUCCCGUGCGCCUCGUCGCGCGGUUGGCAUAAAUGCCAAGUCCUCGGCGACGCACGCCACGACAAUCGGUGGUUGCGAAACCUCGGUUGCCCGUCGUGUGCGGUCGUCGUGCAUCGAGGGCUCGAAAAAAUUGCCGGGCUCCGGCUCGGCUUUCAACGCGACCCCAGGUCAGGCGGGGUUACCCGCUGAAUUUAAGCAUAUCAAUAAGCGGAGGA
RNAcentral lists this unclassified non-coding RNA (391 nucleotides) under soil metagenome. RNAcentral's name for it is "partial contains 5.8S ribosomal RNA, internal transcribed spacer 2, and large subunit ribosomal RNA". The stretch from base 1 to 122 matches the Rfam family "5.8S ribosomal RNA", at positions 35 to 154 of the family's 154-position model. The record is from RNAcentral.